Molecule: non-coding RNA, 1790 nt
Organism: Danio rerio (zebrafish)
Lineage: Eukaryota; Metazoa; Chordata; Actinopteri; Cypriniformes; Danionidae
Source: RefSeq, a predicted model, not a curated record
GCAAACAUGGUAUUUAAUUAAAAAUAUUAAAUUGACCUUAAUCAAUUUUUAUCAACCUGCUAUUAACACUCACUUUUAGUAAGUUACUUGUACUUUGAGGUUGAAAAAUCUUACCAGCUCAGUCUGCUUGAGCUGGAUUAAUUUAGAAAAAGUAAGUUUAUGACACUGUGGGCAUGCGCAGAUCAAUCAAUCAUCCCCAACCAAUCAAGCUGCUUCGUAAGGCGGGUCUUGGCGUGGCGGGAUUCGUAAUUUUGCAAACGGUAGAUGAAGCUGGAUAUCAUUGAGCUGGACCUAAACAUCGCUUCAACGGCACUUGUGAUUAUCGUCAGCAUAACAGCGAUUCUUGUGCUUGGCACACUCAUUUGUUUCCUUCCAGGCACAAGCAUAUGGUGAUCCAUCCACACAUUCCAUAAUCCCAGCAAUAAAAGAUUUUCAAACAGUUUUCAAAAUGGACCAGAGGUUGUUACUGAGAGUCAUCAUCGCAGAAGAUGAUAUAACAUUGUCAUCACCCACCACAACAUUAGACACUGAGGGCAGCACAGCAGACACUGAGAUCCUGUCGCCUGUAGGAGCAUCACCAUCGCUAAGACAACAGUGGCCAGAGUUCUUUGACAUACCCAAUUAGCACAUAUCAUAGAGAGACAGGUGUUUGCUGAGUUUAAUAUUGCCAGUAAGAAUCUUGAGGGAGACUUCUUUGAGGCUCUGGACCAGUAUGCCCCACGUUUCAUUGAACUUUUCAAAACAAAAUAGGGAACUGUUGGCCAGAAACUCAGGGAGCUGAUGCAGCACAUGAGCUGGAUGACACCAGACGACACAGUACUUCGCUCUGUUGUCCUCAAAGGCAUUCCCAUUUUACUCGGUGAUGACUCCAGUGAAUUCUACAAGACCUGCUCUGAUACAGAGAGAGACGAGGCCCUAGAAUGCAUCACUGUAGUCCUCACGAGGGUCAAAGCUCAGUGGACCUCCAGCCCAUCUCCACUGCCAUCAUUCUGGAGGGAGGUAUUCUCAUGGAUCAUGUUAAAAACUUGCCUCAGGCAGUUUGUCCUUUGUUUGGUCUUACAUAUGCAUUGCAUUUGGAUACCCAAAAUGCAUGGCAAAUACACUCAACUUCAUUCAGACUGUGAUGCUUGGACUGGUAAAGAAAAACCUCCCACCAAAACUGUUAACUCCUGAAGAACAGUCUUCUGGGUUAGAACAGUAAAGAGCCAUCGGCUGUCAGAUAGCACUUUGUAAGCUUUGCAGCCAUUAAUGUUCUCCUCUUAUCAGAGAAAGUUUGAUGCUUUCAUGGAAUUGUUCUCGCUUAUUUACGUUCUCAAUGGAAAAAAAAAAAAGAAUAUUCCAUUAAAGUCUACCAUGUUAUGCAGGUAUGCUAAUGGUGGAAAUAGUGCCAUGUUGUGUUGCAAAGAGUUGUUAGAUGUUAUUAGAUGAUAAUGUCAGAAAAUAACCUAGCAAGGUUAUCCUGUUUACAUUUGUGUUUUGGGAAAACUUUUAAUGAUGUUUUUAUUUGUGUUGGUUUAAUCCUUGGACUGCUCACUUUGGGACACAAAAGUAUGUUGUACUUUCGGUUUUGAUCAGAAAUGCACUGAUUGUGCAUGCACUGAAGUCGUCCUGUAGUUACCUGUUUAAUAUUGGGAGACAUGCAUACAAUUAGCUCACAGAAAUGUUUUUAUUUUAUUUUUUUAUAUAUUUUUCCAUGUCAUUUUAUACAGUUAAAUCAAACCACAACUUUGUUGUUUAGCUGCUGUUUUGUACUUGAAUGUGCAUUGAAUAAAUUUUGUAAUGGAGCUGAA